Small nuclear RNA from Nomascus leucogenys (northern white-cheeked gibbon), 106 nucleotides. Lineage: Eukaryota; Metazoa; Chordata; Mammalia; Primates; Hylobatidae. The record is from Ensembl.
AUACUCGCUUCAGUAGCACAGAUACAAAAACUGGAACGGUAUGGAGAAGGUUAGCAUGGCUCCUGCACAAGGAUGAGCUCUUUCUCUUCCCUAGUUAACUGUAUUC